GAUGAAGAACGCAGCGAAAUGCGAUAACUAAUGUGAAUUGCAGAAUUCCGUGAAUCAUCGAGUCUUUGAACGCACAUUGCGCCCCCUGGUAUUCCGGGGGGCAUGCCUGUCCGAGCGUCAUUACAACCCUCAAGCCCGGCUUGUGUAAUGGGCGGCCGUCUCUCCCCCCGGGGGGAGACGCCCCCGAAACUCAGUGGGGAUGUCGCGAUGCCGAAGCCUCAGCUAAUGGGUAAACCACAGCUGCAAUGGCCGCGGCCGGCGUCCGCCUUCCACGGUCCGUCCGCCUAGCGCGGGCGGCCUUCUCAAGGUUGACCUCGGAUCAGGUAGGGAUACCCGCUGAACUUAAGCAUAUCAAUAAGCGGAGGA
RNAcentral lists this unclassified non-coding RNA (366 nucleotides) under soil metagenome. Its description in RNAcentral is "partial contains 5.8S ribosomal RNA, internal transcribed spacer 2, and large subunit ribosomal RNA". The stretch from base 1 to 120 matches the Rfam family "5.8S ribosomal RNA", at positions 35 to 154 of the family's 154-position model. The record is from RNAcentral.